AACGCACGAGACCUGCGGACCUGCGGAGGGAUCAUUGUCGGUUCUUCUCUUGACGGUUUUUUAAACCCGCCUCUGCGCGGCUCGAGGCAACUCGAUACCCUCGGCUCGACUCGUGCCGGCAGGAUCUCGGUCCUCAAAACGCGGUCGUCACCCAUGCCAUUAGUUUCAGAAUGUAACCGCAGGCAGCAAUGCCAAUGCAAUCAAUUACAACUUUCAACAACGGAUCUCUAGAUCGGAAGA
RNAcentral lists this unclassified non-coding RNA (240 nucleotides) under soil metagenome. RNAcentral describes it as "partial contains 5.8S ribosomal RNA, internal transcribed spacer 2, and large subunit ribosomal RNA". The record is from RNAcentral.